RNAcentral lists this ribosomal RNA (253 nucleotides) under uncultured bacterium. Its description in RNAcentral is "partial 16S ribosomal RNA". It matches the Rfam family "Bacterial small subunit ribosomal RNA", at positions 524 to 776 of the family's 1533-position model. The record is from RNAcentral.
UACGUAGGGGACAAGCGUUGUCCGGAAUCAUUGGGCGUAAAGAGCGUGUAGGCGGCCAGAAAAGUCCGCUGUGAAAACUCGAGGCUCAACUUCGAGCUGUCGGUGGAAACUUUCUGGCUAGAGUCCGGAAGAGGAGAAUGGAAUUCCUGGUGUAGCGGUGAAAUGCGCAGAUAUCAGGAAGAACACCCGUGGCGAAGGCGGUUCUCUGGGACGGUACUGACGCUGAGACGCGAAAGCGUGGGGAGCGAACAGG